This 497-nucleotide ribosomal RNA is filed under the name uncultured bacterium. RNAcentral describes it as "partial 16S ribosomal RNA". It matches the Rfam family "Bacterial small subunit ribosomal RNA", at positions 28 to 507 of the family's 1533-position model. The record is from RNAcentral.
GAUGAACGCUGGCGGCGUGCCUAAUACAUGCAAGUCGAGCGAACAGACGAGGAGCUUGUUCCUCUGACGUGAGCCGCGGACGGGUGAGUAACACGUGGAUAACCUACCUAUAAGACUGGGAUAACUUCGGGAAACCGGAGCUAAUACCGGAUAAGAUGUUGCACCGCAUGGUUGAUCAGUGAAAGACGGUCGUGCGGUCACGUAUAGAUGGAUCCGCGCCGCAUUAGCUGGUUGGUAGGGUAAAGGCUUACCACGGCGACGAUGCGUUGCCGAACUGAGAGAGGGAUAGGCCACAUUAGAACUGGACCGGCGACAAGACUCCUGCGGGACGGAGCAGUAGCGUACCGGCGGCAGUAGGCGGGAGCAUGGCGGAGCAACGGGGCGUGAGUGGAGGAAGUCUUGGGAGCGUAAAGCUCGGUUACGAGGGGAGAACAAAUGUCUAAGUAACUGAACAGGUCUUGACGGUAACUAAUCAAGAAGCCACGGCUAACUACGUG